UACCAAGUUUUUCAUCGAGAACAGGUUGAGGGAUUCCUUGGAACAAUUUAAAGAGGGCCUGGAGUGUCUUGGGCUUUUACAUUUGAUGCAAAAGCAUCCUCAGCUCUUUAAAGAAGUAUUUAUGUAUGAGGAGAAGCCACUUUUGGCCGAAGACAUAUCUGCUUUGUUUAAAGCAGAACUUUCUCCAGUUGGCAGCAACAGGAGAGUAGUGGAGAGUAGAACAAUCUGUUUCUGGAGGGACUGGCUCAUAGAAGUGGAAGAAGGAACUGCAUAUCCCCUCACCUUAGACAAGAUUCUUGGAUUUGUGUCAGGAUCUACUGCUAUUCCGAGGCUAGGGUUCCCAGUGGAACCCAAAUUGGAGUUCUUACACCCUCAAGAGAAUGAGGCCCCUAAAAUUUUUCCAGAGGCAAAUACCUGCAGCAUUGUCUUGAGGCUACCAAUCCAUCCCAGCUAUGAACUCUUCAGAGAAAACAUGGAAAGUGGUAUUUUGCAAUCCCCCACUUUUGGAGUGAUGUAGAAAAAUUGUGUUGGCUGUUACUGAUGUAAUAGUUUUAAAUAUUUUCAUGUUUUAAAGUUUUAUUAUGAAACAUGAAGAGCUAAAUUGGCACACCACUGCUCUAAGAGUAGAAAAAUAUUUAUAUUCUCACCAAAAGUGACAUUUCAAGCCUACAAGCUCUUCAUCAGACAAUGAUCACAUACAUCAAACUAGAGUGACAUGAUCACCCACAUGACCCCCCGCCCCCCAAACCGAAUGGCAAUCAGAUAAAGGCAAUAAACAUAAAAGUGAAAACAACCAUUAACUACAAAUGCUGAACCUCAACAUAUUAAAAAAAAAAAAAUACUUGCAAAAUAUACAUAAAAGAACAAUACUUUAUCUCUCACAAAAAUCAUUAAAUAAAAUGCCUGAUGUUAAGAAAACAAUCAACAUCAAGAUAGAAUCAAAUGUAAAUUUGAUUCUAUAAUUUAUGUAUACUUUACAGCUAUUUUUUUUAUAUAGGCUUAGGUUCAGAAUUUGUAGUUAGUGGUUGUAUUCACUUUUAGGUUUGUUUAUUGCCUUUAUGUGAGGUGAUUUCCUGAUUGCCCUUUUUUGGAUCAUGUGGGUGAUCAUGUCAUUCAGGUUUGUGCUAUAUAUAAAACCUGAACUAUGUAUGUGUUCAUUGUCUAAUGAAGAGCUUGUAGGCUCGGAAUGUCACCUUUGAUGAGAACAUAAUACUUUUGGAGCUGUGGUGUGCCAAAUUUCUUCUUAGUUUUAGGUAUUUACGUGGUUGAGCACUCACAUUAAGCCCUUCAGCCUGUUGGAUGUGUGCACUUCGAUUAUCUAAAGUUAUACAAUGGACAUUUCAUCAUACAGUUCUACUACAGCUUUUUGAUGUUUGUAGGGGUUGCUAAGUUUUGUCCCUUUCUCCAGUUCUGCUCUGUCUUGGGAUAUCUGAUAAGAAUCCACAUCUGAAAGUAUUCAGAUUAUACUACAAAUUAAUGAAAUUUACAUCACAAUUACAAUAAAAAGUUGUUUAUUAA
Carassius carassius (crucian carp) is the source of this 1518-nucleotide long non-coding RNA. RefSeq lists it as uncharacterized. The record is from RefSeq and is a predicted model, not a curated record. The transcript has 3 exons. Lineage: Eukaryota; Metazoa; Chordata; Actinopteri; Cypriniformes; Cyprinidae.